CAUCUGCCACCCCCUUCCCUUUUGCCUUCAAUCUUUCCUAGCAUGAAGGUCUGUUCCAUUGAGUUGGCUCUUCACAUCAGGUGGCCAAAGUAUUGGAGCUUCUGCAUCAGCAUUGGUCCUUCCAAUGAAUAUUCAGGAUUGAUUUCCUUUAGGAUCGACUGGUUUGAUCUCCUGGAAAUUCUUGUUGUACCCAUCAGGGGUUUUGGACCCCUACGUGCAGCUGACCCCUGGGCCUUUCCAUCCAAAGCAUCCACACUCUCAUCAGAUGCGGCAUGCUUGACUGUCGAUACCAUCUUCCCAGCUGGACUGAGGUGCCUCGAGGCUGGUGUCGUCCCAGCCACCCCUCUUUAGACUCUAAACUUAACCGGAGGGAAAAGGACUCUCCGUUUGCUCUUCCCUGGUGCCCUGAGCUUCACACACAGGUGGGUUCACUUAAUCUACUCAUUGGCACCGAGGGGCAGAUGGUUUUGGCUCUGUGGGGCAAAUGAGGGAAGUGAAGAUGGCCAAGGGCCUCAGGAUGCAACCUCAUGCCUCCCACCACUCAUGUGACCACAGCGAAACUGGGAACACAUGGUGCGUACCCCUGACAAAGCGCCAGGAAGAGGGGAGAGGGUGCCUGGUCAUCCCAAGGGAAGCCCCUGGAGACUGAUGGGCAUCGGUCCCUCCCUGAGGCUGUCCUGUGGGGAACUGUGAAGAAAGAAGCCAGGGGGACCUCAGCCCCUUCUCUCAUUGAGGGCCAUCUUGGACCACAGGUUCCCUCUCCCCAUCUCUAGCAGAAAGGGUUUGACUGAACAAACUCUGAACCCUCUCACCGCCAUCAACUGAGCUACUUGCGCUUCAUCUACUGCCUCCCACCUGCUUGAGGCUGAGAACUUGCUUCAUCCUUGCCUCCCUGGCCCUCCCCAGCCAUGGGUUAGUUUAAAUAUCUCAGAAUCUGAGCUCUGUCUCAACACAGCAGCCCCAUCUGAGUGCUGUUUGUCUUAAAAUGGGCUCAGAGGGACAUCUCUCAUGGUCCAGUGGUUAAGAAUCCACCGUUCACUGCAGGGAGCUUGGGUUCAAUCCCUGACUGGGUAACUAAGAUCCCAUAUGCCUUGGGGCAACUGAGCCCACGAGCCGCCAACUACAGAGCCCAAGCACUCUGGAGCCCCUCGGCUACAGCUGGAGAGAAGCCUGCACGCCACAAUGAAGAUCCUACGAGCUGCAUCUAAGACUUGACUCAGACAAAAAAAAAAAAAAAAAAAAAAAAACUAACUAAAAUAAAGGAAAUAAACAUUAAAAAAAACCCCUUUCUGUUAAAAAAAAAAAAAAAAAAAGGGCUCACCUAUGGGUUCCUGCCCCUUAGCGGCCUCAUGAUUCUGAUUUCCCCACUGGAAGAAGACAUUCACCCCAAAUACAUGCGAUGGACCCACUGGGCUCUGAUGACAGGACCGCCUACGGUGUGC
Molecule: long non-coding RNA, 1442 nt
Filed under: Capra hircus (goat)
Lineage: Eukaryota; Metazoa; Chordata; Mammalia; Artiodactyla; Bovidae
Description: lncRNA (ENSCHIG00000001072.1)
Source: RNAcentral